GACGAACGCUGGCGGCGUGCUUAACACAUGCAAGUCGAACGGUAAGGCCCUUCGGGGUACACGAGUGGCGAACGGGUGAGUAACACGUGGGUGAUCUGCCCUGCACUUCGGGAUAAGCCUGGGAAACUGGGUCUAAUACCGGAUAGGACCACUGCCUGCAUGGGUGGUGGUGGAAAGCUUUUGCGGUGUGGGAUGGGCCCGCGGCCUAUCAGCUUGUUGGUGGGGUGAUGGCCUACCAAGGCGACGACGGGUAGCCGUCCUGAGAGGGUGACCUGCAACGCUGGGACUGGGAUACGUGCCAGACUCCUGCGGGAGGCAGCAGUGGGGAAUAUUGCACAAUGGGCGCAAGCUGGAUGCAGCGACGCCGCGUGAGGGAUGACGGCCUUCGGGUUGUAAACCUCUUUCAGCACGGACGAAGCGCAAGUGACGGUAGGUGCAGAAGAAGGACCGGCCAACUACGUGCCAGCAGCCGCAGUAA
This 478-nucleotide ribosomal RNA is filed under the name uncultured bacterium. RNAcentral's name for it is "partial 16S ribosomal RNA". It matches the Rfam family "Bacterial small subunit ribosomal RNA", at positions 28 to 523 of the family's 1533-position model. The record is from RNAcentral.